UACGUAGGUCCCGAGCGUUGUCCGGAUUUAUUGGGCGUAAAGCGAGCGCAGGUGGUUUAUUAAGUCUGGUGUAAAAGGCAGUGGCUCAACCAUUGUAUGCAUUGGAAACUGGUAGACUUGAGUGCAGGAGAGGAGAGUGGAAUUCCAUGUGUAGCGGUGAAAUGCGUAGAUAUACGGAGGAACACCAGUGGCGAAGGCGGAUUGCUGGACAGUAACUGACGCUGAGGCGCGAAAGCGUGGGGAGCAAACAGG
This 252-nucleotide ribosomal RNA is filed under the name uncultured bacterium. RNAcentral's name for it is "partial 16S ribosomal RNA". It matches the Rfam family "Bacterial small subunit ribosomal RNA", at positions 524 to 776 of the family's 1533-position model. The record is from RNAcentral.